GCAGAUGCAAAAUGAACAUAGCCCACUGCCCCUUUCCUGCAGUAUCGGAUGACAGCAGAGACAUCAAGAAGGGCACAAUGCUUAGUGACCUCACGCAGACCCAAGUACUUGGGGGACAAGACCAGAGGGAAGCAGGUCCACUCAGCUUCCACAGGACCCCCGAUCCUGCCUUGUGCAUCAUCCCCACAAACAGUCUGGCAGGCAUGACUGAAAUUCUGGAUCUGGGCACUGCCUACUCACUAAAGUCUCCGAGUUGAACAAGACAAAGUUCCUACCCUCACACAGCGUGUGACUGAGUGGACCAGCACCUACUAAACCUCUGAACUGUAAUCAUGUCUAGACACAUCGGUGUGUAUAUUGGCCACAUGAUACAGGCCUGAGAGGCUGGCACUUCCGCUACCUGUUGAGCCUCCGCGAGCUGCUCCAACAUCGCCUGUGCCACCUGCAAGCCUCCCGGGCAGACGGAGCCCCUGCCCGGCUCUCACGGG
Chinchilla lanigera (long-tailed chinchilla) is the source of this 488-nucleotide long non-coding RNA. RefSeq lists it as uncharacterized. The transcript is spliced from 4 exons. The record is from RefSeq and is a predicted model, not a curated record. Lineage: Eukaryota; Metazoa; Chordata; Mammalia; Rodentia; Chinchillidae.